GCGGAGCGCGCGUUCCCGUCCCGCCCGCGGGCGCCGUGCGGAGGGCGGGAGCGGAGCGCGGGACGC
Gallus gallus (chicken) is the source of this 66-nucleotide non-coding RNA. The record is from RefSeq and is marked provisional. Lineage: Eukaryota; Metazoa; Chordata; Aves; Galliformes; Phasianidae.